RNAcentral lists this ribosomal RNA (434 nucleotides) under uncultured Anaerotruncus sp. RNAcentral's name for it is "bacterial SSU rRNA". It matches the Rfam family "Bacterial small subunit ribosomal RNA", at positions 341 to 792 of the family's 1533-position model. The record is from RNAcentral. Lineage: Bacteria; Bacillati; Bacillota; Clostridia; Eubacteriales; Oscillospiraceae.
ACGGGAGGCAGCAGUGGGGGAUAUUACACAAUGGGGGAAACCCUGAUGCAGCGACGCCGCGUGUGGGAAGACGGUCCUCUGGAUUGUAAACCACUGUCCUCAGGGACGAAGAUGACGGUACCUGAGGAGGAAGCUCCGGCUAACUACGUGCCAGCAGCCGCGGUAAUACGUAGGGAGCGAGCGUUGUCCGGAAUUACUGGGUGUAAAGGGAGCGUAGGCGGGGACGCAAGUUGGAUGUGAAAUCUACCGGCUCAACUGGUAGCUGCAUUCAAAACUGCGACUCUUGAGUGGAGUAGAGGCAGGCGGAAUUCCUAGUGUAGCGGUGAAAUGCGUAGAUAUUAGGAGGAACACCAGUGGCGAAGGCGGCCUGCUGGGCUUUUACUGACGCUGAGGCUCGAAAGUGUGGGGAGCAAACAGGAUUAGAUACCCUGGUA